Molecule: transfer RNA, 84 nt
Filed under: Patescibacteria group bacterium
Lineage: Bacteria
Description: tRNA-Leu
Rfam family: tRNA
About the family: Transfer RNA (tRNA) molecules are approximately 80 nucleotides in length. Their secondary structure includes four short double-helical elements and three loops (D, anti-codon, and T loops).
Source: RNAcentral
GCGGACGUGGCGGAAUUGGUAGACGCGCAGCCUUGAGGAGGCUGUGGGUGAAAACCUGUGAGAGUUCAAGUCUCUCCGUCCGCA